GGGCCAGUAGCUCAGUUGGCAGAGCCCCCGGCUCAUAACCGGAUGGUCGUAGGUUCGAAUCCUACCUGGCCCACCA
This 76-nucleotide transfer RNA is filed under the name Desulfobaculum bizertense. RNAcentral describes it as "Paradesulfovibrio bizertensis tRNA-Ile". It matches the Rfam family "tRNA". Rfam says of the family: Transfer RNA (tRNA) molecules are approximately 80 nucleotides in length. Their secondary structure includes four short double-helical elements and three loops (D, anti-codon, and T loops). Lineage: Bacteria; Pseudomonadati; Thermodesulfobacteriota; Desulfovibrionia; Desulfovibrionales; Desulfovibrionaceae. RNAcentral also lists the same sequence under 2 other names. The record is from RNAcentral.